Non-coding RNA from Suillus subalutaceus, 76 nucleotides. The record is from the annotation of a RefSeq genome assembly. NCBI's taxonomy places the organism in Eukaryota, Fungi, Basidiomycota, Agaricomycetes, Boletales, Suillaceae.
GCUCAUGGCUAAGUGGUUAUGUAACAGAUUCGAAAUCUGUUCCUCGUGGAUGGUGCGGGUUGGAAACCUGCUGGCA